UUAACAUUUUUCAAGGACUUGCUGAAUCAUGAAGAAUGCUCCUUCAAGAAACUGGAGGAGAGAAGACUUCUUGGAGGACUAGCAUCCAACCUGGUCCUAUCACCACUACAUGUGCAGUGGAAGAACUCAGAUAUGAAGCAAGCACCAUGAGCUGUUUUUCAGGGCUGAAAUUUUUCAGCAGUGGAGAAUGGAGAUGGAGAGAAAUGCUGCUC
Molecule: long non-coding RNA, 212 nt
Filed under: Ictidomys tridecemlineatus (thirteen-lined ground squirrel)
Lineage: Eukaryota; Metazoa; Chordata; Mammalia; Rodentia; Sciuridae
Description: lncRNA (ENSSTOG00000031619.1)
Source: RNAcentral